CAGUGAAAUUGAACUCGCUGUGAAGAUGCAGUGUACCCGCGGCAAGACGGAAAGACCCCGUGAACCUUUACUAUAGCUUGACACUGAACAUUGAGCCUUGAUGUGUAGGAUAGGUGGGAGGCUUUGAAGUGUGGACGCCAGUCUGCAUGGAGCCGACCUUGAAAUACCACCCUUUAAUGUUUGAUGUUCUAACGUGGACCCGUUACCCGGGUUGCGGACAGUGUCUGGUGGGUAGUUUGACUGGGGCGGUCUCCUCCUAAAGAGUAACGGAGGAGCACGAAGGUUGGCUAAUCCUGGUCGGACAUCAGGAGGUUAGUGCAAUGGCAUAAGCCAGCUUGACUGCGAGCGUGACGGCGCGAGCAGGUGCGAAAGCAGGUCAUAGUGAUCCGGUGGUUCUGAAUGGAAGGGCCAUCGCUCAACGGAUAAAAGGUACUCCGGGGAUAACAGGCUGAUACCGCCCAAGAGUUCAUAUCGACGGCGGUGUUUGGCACCUCGAUGUCGGCUCAUCACAUCCUGGGGCUGAAGUAGGUCCCAAGGGUAUGGCUGUUCGCCAUUUAAAGUGGUACGCGAGCUGGGUUUAGAACGUCGUGAGACAGUUCGGUCCCUAUCUGCCGUGGGCGCUGGAGAACUGAGGGGGGCUGCUCCUAGUACGAGAGGACCGGAGUGGACGCAUCACUGGUGUUCGGGUUGUCAUGCCAAUGGCACUGCCCGGUAGCUAAAUGCGGAAGAGAUAAGUGCUGAAAGCAUCUAAGCACGAAACUUGCCCCGAGAUGAGUUCUCCCUGAGACUUAAAGUCUCCUGAAGGAACGUUGAAGACGACGACGUUGAUAGGCCGGGUGUGUAAGCGCAGCGAUGCGUUGAGCUA
This 865-nucleotide ribosomal RNA is filed under the name Salmonella enterica subsp. enterica serovar Enteritidis. Its description in RNAcentral is "partial 23S ribosomal RNA". It matches the Rfam family "Bacterial large subunit ribosomal RNA", at positions 2034 to 2893 of the family's 2925-position model. The record is from RNAcentral. Lineage: Bacteria; Pseudomonadati; Pseudomonadota; Gammaproteobacteria; Enterobacterales; Enterobacteriaceae.